RNAcentral lists this long non-coding RNA (341 nucleotides) under Brachypodium distachyon (stiff brome). RNAcentral describes it as "long non-coding RNA (BDIS_LNC004625)". The record is from RNAcentral. Lineage: Eukaryota; Viridiplantae; Streptophyta; Magnoliopsida; Poales; Poaceae.
UGCCAUCAUCGCUGCAUUGCAGGAACGGAUGCACAUGUGCCAACACAAUAACACAAGAAAGAAGUGCGUAUCCUUUCUUUUUUACCAAGAACAAGUGUGUAUCACAUGGGCGGAGCGAGAAAAAAAGUCAAAAAAAAGACAUUUAGAUAUUUUUAAAAAGCUCUAACUUAAAUCAGAGGGACAUCAAUGGUGAAAACCUAACAUUUGUACCAGUGAAUCAAAAUUGAGUGGGAACAUUAGGCCCAUUAGGCCCCAUGGCUUAGAUCAGCCAUGCAUAAACAUGGUCAAGGAAGAAGUGCAUGCACAAUGUAAAACCAAACACUACAUGUAUACUGCACAUG